AGGUCCGUAGCUCAGCUGGUAGAGCGGCCCCCACGCCGGGGGAGGGUCAGGGGUUCAAGUCCCCUCGGAUCGC
RNAcentral lists this transfer RNA (73 nucleotides) under Streptomyces sp. MnatMP-M17. It matches the Rfam family "tRNA". From Rfam's summary of the family: Transfer RNA (tRNA) molecules are approximately 80 nucleotides in length. Lineage: Bacteria; Bacillati; Actinomycetota; Actinomycetes; Kitasatosporales; Streptomycetaceae. The record is from Rfam by way of RNAcentral.